RNAcentral lists this transfer RNA (74 nucleotides) under Patescibacteria group bacterium. Its description in RNAcentral is "tRNA-Arg". It matches the Rfam family "tRNA". From Rfam's summary of the family: Transfer RNA (tRNA) molecules are approximately 80 nucleotides in length. Their secondary structure includes four short double-helical elements and three loops (D, anti-codon, and T loops). The record is from RNAcentral.
GCACUCGUAGCUCAACUGGAUAGAGCAUCGGUCUUCGGAACCGACGGUUGCGGGUUCGACUCCCCCCGAGUGCG